Molecule: ribosomal RNA, 802 nt
Filed under: Myelochroa galbina
Lineage: Eukaryota; Fungi; Ascomycota; Lecanoromycetes; Lecanorales; Parmeliaceae
Description: SSU rRNA
Rfam family: Bacterial small subunit ribosomal RNA
Source: RNAcentral
UAGCAGUGGAGGGANUAUUGGUCCAAUAGCCUAACGGCUGAACCAGCAACUUGGAGGAAUGUAUAGCAAUAGCUACUUGCAUCAUUGCAAAGGUGAUGUAAGAUCGACUAUGUUGAAUAAAAAUUCUAGGUAGAAUUAUGAUAAUGACAUUGUCUGCCUAUGUGUCUUGACCAAAUUACGUGCCAGCAGUCGCGGUAAUACGUAGAAGACUUGUGUUAUUCAUGUUUAAUCGGUUUAAAGGGUACCUAGACGGUAAAUCAAGCUUUCAUAAUAAUAAAAGGACUAAUUUGCUAGAGUUACUUAUGAGGGGGUUAUAAAGUACUGGUGGUGUAGAGAUGAAAUUCUGUCAUACCUCUUUUCGAAAGAAGAAUCAUGGCACAGGUAUAGGCGAAGGCAUCCCCUUAUGUGAUAACUGACGUUGAGGGACGAAGGCUUUGUGUAGCGAACAGGAUUAGAUACCCCAAUAGUCAAGGCAGAAAAUGAUGAAUGUCAUAGAUUAGAUAUAUAAGUUUAUUCUAUAAAUGAAAGUGUAAGCAUUCCACCUCAAGAGUAAUUUGGCAACAUUGGAACUGAAAUCAUUAGACCGUUUCUGAAACCAGUAGUGAAGUAUGUUGUUUAAUUUGAUGACCCGCAAAAAACCUUACCACAAUUUGAAUAUUUAUAUUUUUUAUUGUAUUCUUGUUAAUAUUUCUUCUGGAUUUUCCGCAACAUGAAAAUUGAACAAGAAAAUUAAUAAAGAGGCAGUAAGAUAUAUUUACAACCGUUGCACGGCUGUCUUCAGUUAAUGUCGUGAGACUUUGGU